Molecule: ribosomal RNA, 253 nt
Filed under: uncultured bacterium
Lineage: Bacteria
Description: partial 16S ribosomal RNA
Rfam family: Bacterial small subunit ribosomal RNA
Source: RNAcentral
UACAGAGGUCCCAAGCGUUGUUCGGAUUCAUUGGGCGUAAAGGGUGCGUAGGUGGCGCCGUAAGUCAGGUGUGAAAUCUCGGAGCUCAACUCCGAAACUGCACUUGAUACUGCGGUGCUCGAGUACUGGAGAGGAGAUUGGAAUUUACGGUGUAGCAGUGAAAUGCGUAGAUAUCGUAAGGAAGACCAGUGGCGAAGGCGAAUCUCUGGACAGUUACUGACACUGAGGCACGAAGGCCAGGGGAGCAAACGGG